ACUCAAAGGAAUUGACGGGGACCCGCACAAGCAGUGGAGCAUGUGGUUUAAUUCGAAGCUACACGAAGAACCUUAUCCGAGGCUUGACAUCUUCCGAAGGCUUGAGAAAUCAGGCCGUGCCCGCAAGGGAGCGGAAUGACAGGUGCUGCAUGGCCGUCGUCAGCUCGUGUCGUGAGAUGUUGGGUUAAGUCCCGCAACGAGCGCAACCCUUAUCGUAUGUUGUAUUUUUCAUACGAGACUGCCCGGGCCAACCGGGAGGAAGGUGGGGAUGACGUCAGGUCCGCAUGGCCCUUACGCCUCGGGCUACACACGUGCUACAAUGGCCGGUACAAAGGGUUGCCAAACCGCAAGGUGGAGCUAAUCCCAUCAAAACCGGUCCCAGUUCGGAUUAGAGGCUGCAACUCGCCUCUAUGAAGCCGGAAUUGCUAGUAACCGUGGGUCAGCAUACCGCGGUGAAUACGUUCCCGGGUCUUGUACACACCGCCCGU
RNAcentral lists this ribosomal RNA (488 nucleotides) under uncultured bacterium. RNAcentral's name for it is "partial 16S ribosomal RNA". It matches the Rfam family "Bacterial small subunit ribosomal RNA", at positions 899 to 1397 of the family's 1533-position model. The record is from RNAcentral.